AGCAAACAGGAGUUGCAGAUAUCAAAGUGCAACCGACUAGCAAAGAAAUAAGAGCUUUGGUUUCCAGUACAACAAGGAAGCACUGCAAAUAAUAAUAGAGGUUUAGAGUUUGCAUAGGAUAGCUUAACUACAACAGCUAAACGCAUUUAAGCAUCCAAAAUAUUAACAGCUAGGAGUUUGACAGACAAUAAUAGAAGCUCAAAUCUGGCAAAGUUCUUCCGAACGUGUCCUAGAUCCUUGAUUUUCUGCAACUGAUCCAUCUUCAGUUCUGCACUAUUGCUCUUCUUCUGCAAGAUUAACAUUUUUUUAAUACAUGUCAAUAUUUUUCUAUAUACAUUUAAUAUUUUCAAAUGCUUGAUUAACAUUUUUUUAAUACUAUACAAGAUUUUUUUUAAUACAUGAUGAACAUUUUUCUAUGCACAUUUAAUAUUUUUCAAAUGCUUGAUUAGCAUUUUUCAAAUACAUGUUAAACAUUUUUUUAAUACAUGGUCAACAUUUUUUAUACACAUUUAAUAUUUUUCAAAUGCUUGAUUAAUAAUAUUUUUUAGAUAUUUGUUUAACAUUUUUUUUCAAAUGCUUGAUUAACAUUUUUUAAAUAACUUUUUCACACACAUUGUAUAUUUUUUGUCUACAUUUUUCGUAUACAUGAGAAACGUUUUCUCUAUACACAAUUACAUUUUUUAAAUGCUUGGUUAACAUUUUUAUCAUAUACAUUUCUUUGUACACAUUUUACAUUUUUCAAAUGUUUUACUUACAAUAUCUGGAAGUAUAUACGGAAAUAAGAAAAGAAAGAAAAAACGAUAACAAAAACGUGAAAAAAAAAGAUGCCAUGACCUCCCGCAUGCCUGGGCCUGCUUAUCUGGCGCUCCCCUGACGCGAGACUUCACUACGUCUCGCUGUAAGCGAGACAUAGAGGUGCCCAAGAGUCCAGUUCAGGAUGGACCGCUGACUGAAAGAGAUUCAAAGAACACUAAAAGUGUUGAUAAUUAACCAUUACUGGCAGACGAUCAUGAGGGACAUGUAGCACCCGUCACAAUUUUGUCAACUGAGCUGGUAUGCCCGUCACACCAUCAGCCAAGAAGUGAUGUCUUCUGCAACGAUUUAGCAUUUGAGCAAACAGGAGUUGCAGAUAUCAAACUGCAACCGACUAGCAAAGAAAUAAGAGCUUUGGUUUCCAGUACAACAAGGAAGCACUGCAAAUAAUAAUAGAGGUUUAGAGUUUGCAUAGGGUAGCUUAACUACAACAGCUAACCGCAUUUAAGCAUCCAAAAUAUUAAUAGCUAGGAGUUUGACAGACAAUAAUAGAAGCUCAAAUCUGGCAAAGUUCUUCCGAACGUGUCUUAGAUCCUUGAUUUUCUGCAACUGAUCCAUCUUCAGUUCUGCACUAUUGCUCUUCUUCUGCAAGAUUAACAUUUUUUUAAUACAUGUCAAUAUUUUUCUAUAUACAUUUAAUAUUUUCAAAUGCUUGAUUAACAUUUUUUUAAUACUAUACAAGAUUUUUUAAUACAUGAUGAACAUUUUUCUAUGCACAUUUAAUAUUUUUCAAAUGCUUGAUUAGCAUUUUUCAAAUACAUGUUAAACAUUUUUUGAAUACAUGGUCAACAUUUUUUAUACACAUUUAAUAUUUUUCAAAUGCUUGAUUAAUAAUAUUUUUUAGAUAUUUGUUUAACAUUUUUUUUCAAAUGCUUGAUUAACAUUUUUUAAAUAACUUUUUCACACACAUUGUAUAUUUUUUGUCUACAUUUUUCGUAUACAUGAGAAACGUUUUCUCUAUACACAAUUACAUUUUCUAAAUGCUUGGUUAACAUUUUUAUCAUAUACAUUUCUUUGUACACAUUUUACAUUUUUCAAAUGUUUUACUUACAAUAUCUGGAAGUAUAUACGGAAAUAAGAAAAGAAAGAAAACACGAUAACAAAAACGUGAGAAAAAAACGAUGCCAUGACCUCCCGCAUGCCUGGGCCUGCUUAUCUGGCGCUCCCCUGACGCGAGACUUCACUACGUCUCGCUGUAAGCGAGACAUAGAGGUGCCCAAGAGUCCAGUUCAGGAUGGACUGCUGACUGAAAGAGAUUCAAAGAACACUAAAAGUGUUGAUAAUUAACCAUUACUGGCAGACGAUCAUGAGGGACAUGUAGCACCCAUCACAAUUUUGUCAACUGAGCUGGUAUGCCCGUCACACCAUCAGCCAAGAAGUGAUGUCUUCUGCAACGAUUUAGCAUUUGAGCAAACAGGAGUUGCAGAUAUCAAACUGCAACCGACUAGCAAAAAAAUAAGAGCUUUGGUUUCCAGUACAACAAGGAAGCACUGCAAAUAAUAAUAGAGGUUUAGAGUUUGCAUAGGAUAGCUUAACUACAACAGCUAAACGCAUUUAAGCAUCCAAAAUAUUAACAGCUAGGAGUUUGCCAGACAAUAAUAGAAGCUCAAAUCUGGCAAAGUUCUUCCGAACGUGUCCUAGAUCCUUGAUUUUCUGCAACUGAUCCAUCUUCAGUUCUGCACUAUUGCUCUUUUCUUCUGCAAGAUUAACAUUUUUUUAAUACAUGUCAAUAUUUUUCUAUAUACAUUUAAUAUUUUCAAAUGCUUGAUUAACAUUUUUUUAAUACUAUACAAGAUUUGUUUAAUACAUGAUGAACAUUUUUCCUAUGCACAUUUAAUAUUUUUCAAAUGCUUGAUUAGCAUUUUUCAAAUACAUGUUAAACAUUUUUUGAAUACAUGGUCAACAUUUUUUAUACACAUUUAAUAUUUUUUCAAAUGCUUGAUUAAUAAUAUUUUUUAGAUAUUUGUUUAACAUUUUUUUUCAAAUGCUUGAUUAACAUUUUUUAAAUAACUUUUUCACACACAUUGUAUAUUUUUUGUCUACAUUUUUCGUAUACAUGAGAAACGUUUUCUCUAUACACAAUUACAUUUUUUAAAUGCUUGGUUAACAUUUUUAUCAUAUACAUUGCUUUGUACACAUUUUACAUUUUUCAAAUGUUUUACUUACAAUAUCUGGAAGUAUAUACGGAAAUAAGAAAAGAAAGAAAACACGAUAACAAAAACGUGAAAAAAAAACGAUGCCAUGACCUCCCGCAUGCCUGGGCCUGCUUAUCUGGCGCUCCCCUGACGCGAGACUUCACUACGUCUCGCUGUAAGCGAGACAUAGAGGUGCCCAAGAGUCCAGUUCAGGAUGGACCGCUGACUGAAAGAGAUUCAAAGAACACUAAAAGUGUUGAUAAUUAACCAUUACUGGCAGACGAUCAUGAGGGACAUGUAGCACCCAUCACAAUUUUGUCAACUGAGCUGGUAUGCCCGUCACACCAUCAGCCAAGAAGUGAUGUCUUCUGCAACGAUUUAGCAUUUGAGCAAACAGGAGUUGCAGAUAUCAAACUGCAACCGACUAGCAAAGAAAUAAGAGCUUUGGUUUCCAGAACAACAAGGAAGCACUGCAAAUAAUAAUAGAGGUUUAGAGUUUGCAUAGGAUAGCUUAACUACAACAGCUAAACGCAUUUAAGCAUCCAAAAUAUUAACAGCUAGGAGUUUGACAGACAAUAAUAGAAGCUCAAAUCUGGCAAAGUUCUUCUGAGCGUGUCUUAGAUCCUUGAUUUUCUGCAACUGAUCCAUCUUCAGUUCUGCACUAUUGUUCUUCCUCGAUCACGGCAGUUUGCAUGCAGUCCGGCAGUAGACAAACAGGAAGGCCACACUCCAGUCUUUUGUCUGGGAUCCAAAUUGGUGCUUGGCCUCCAAAUAGUACAGUAUCUCUGAAGUAGCGUGGUACCGUAUCUCUGUAGUCGUGUGAGAACUUACUGAAUUUUUGCCUCGAGGUGCGAACUAGAUAGGGCAGGCUGUAGUAUGGGGACAUGUAUGCAGCAGUGCUAACCCCAAUCUCACAACAGACGGCAAUAACAUGAGAGCAGGGCUUGUGAAGUACCUGCGGCUUGCUGCAUGAACAGGUGGC
This 3930-nucleotide long non-coding RNA is filed under the name Triticum aestivum (bread wheat). RNAcentral describes it as "long non-coding RNA (TAES_LNC023731)". The record is from RNAcentral. Lineage: Eukaryota; Viridiplantae; Streptophyta; Magnoliopsida; Poales; Poaceae.